Molecule: unclassified non-coding RNA, 518 nt
Filed under: Hevea brasiliensis (rubber tree)
Lineage: Eukaryota; Viridiplantae; Streptophyta; Magnoliopsida; Malpighiales; Euphorbiaceae
Source: RNAcentral
AAAAAAAUACAACUUGCUGAGUUUUAGCUUUUCUAUCCAAAUCUAAAGAGUAGAUUAAAGCUAUACUAAAAUAACAACAACCUUUGUAAAAUUAAACAACACUGCCAAAGAUGUUCGGAAAAGAUAUGAACGACUAUUACAAUAAGAUGUUAACACAGAGAAACUCAUCUUUUCUAUUGUUUUUCAAAAGCAGCGAUACAAGUCUUUAACUAGGAAUUGGAAACAAACAAACCGAGAGAAGAAAAAUAGAGCACUAGUUUAGAACUAACCCUUUACUCAUUAACCGACUAACAUCAACUAAUUAGGACUCUCGAACUACAUAACUAGAUAUGUAAUACUCCUAAAAGUACUUCCAAUAAUAGCACUAAACUUUUGAAUCAGUCAACUAACAAAGACAUUCUUACAAAUAAAAAGUAACUGAAACAUAUGGAAGAUCAGAAUAGAUUUCAAAACAAAUGACACCAUAGUGGCAAAUCUCACAAAAAAUGGAGGGUUGAUGAAGACCUGGUUUAUUGUUG